Molecule: ribosomal RNA, 253 nt
Filed under: uncultured bacterium
Lineage: Bacteria
Description: partial 16S ribosomal RNA
Rfam family: Bacterial small subunit ribosomal RNA
Source: RNAcentral
UACAGAGGUCUCAAGCGUUGUUCGGAUUCAUUGGGCGUAAAGGGUGUGUAGGUGGCGCGCUAAGUCGGGUGUGAAAUUUCGGAGCUUAACUCCGAAACUGCAUUCGAUACUGGCGUGCUUGAGGACUGGAGAGGAGACUGGAAUUCAUGGUGUAGCAGUGAAAUGCGUAGAGAUCAUGAGGAAGACCAGUGGCGAAGGCGGGUCUCUGGACAGUGACUGACGCCGAGACGCGAAAGCGUGGGUAGCAAACAGG